This 1488-nucleotide ribosomal RNA is filed under the name metagenome. Its description in RNAcentral is "bacterial SSU rRNA". It matches the Rfam family "Bacterial small subunit ribosomal RNA". The record is from RNAcentral.
AGAGUUUGAUCCUGGCUCAGGAUGAACGCUAGCUACAGGCUUAACACAUGCAAGUCGAGGGGAAACGACAUCGAAAGCUUGCUUUUGAUGGGCGUCGACCGGCGCACGGGUGAGUAACGCGUAUCCAACCUGCCCACCACUUGGGGAUAACCUUGCGAAAGCAAGACUAAUACCCAAUGAUAUCUCUAGAAGACAUCUGAAAGAGAUUAAAGAUUUAUCGGUGAUGGAUGGGGAUGCGUCUGAUUAGCUUGUUGGCGGGGUAACGGCCCACCAAGGCAACGAUCAGUAGGGGUUCUGAGAGGAAGGUCCCCCACAUUGGAACUGAGACACGGUCCAAACUCCUACGGGAGGCAGCAGUGAGGAAUAUUGGUCAAUGGGCGAGAGCCUGAACCAGCCAAGUAGCGUGCAGGAAGACGGCCCUAUGGGUUGUAAACUGCUUUUAUAAGGGAAUAAAGUUAGUCUCGUGAGACUUUUUGCAUGUACCUUAUGAAUAAGGACCGGCUAAUUCCGUGCCAGCAGCCGCGGUAAUACGGAAGGUCCGGGCGUUAUCCGGAUUUAUUGGGUUUAAAGGGAGCGUAGGCCGGAGAUUAAGCGUGUUGUGAAAUGUAGACGCUCAACGUCUGCACUGCAGCGCGAACUGGUUUCCUUGAGUACGCACAAAGUGGGCGGAAUUCGUGGUGUAGCGGUGAAAUGCUUAGAUAUCACGAAGAACUCCGAUUGCGAAGGCAGCUCACUGGAGCGCAACUGACGCUGAAGCUCGAAAGUGCGGGUAUCGAACAGGAUUAGAUACCCUGGUAGUCCGCACGGUAAACGAUGGAUGCCCGCUGUUGGUCUGAACAGGUCAGCGGCCAAGCGAAAGCAUUAAGCAUCCCACCUGGGGAGUACGCCGGCAACGGUGAAACUCAAAGGAAUUGACGGGGGCCCGCACAAGCGGAGGAACAUGUGGUUUAAUUCGAUGAUACGCGAGGAACCUUACCCGGGCUCGAACGGCACCUGGAUCACCCAGAGAUGGGCGAGUCUUCGGACAGGUGUCGAGGUGCUGCAUGGUUGUCGUCAGCUCGUGCCGUGAGGUGUCGGCUCAAGUGCCAUAACGAGCGCAACCCUUGCCGCCAGUUGCCAUCAGGUGAUGCUGGGCACUCUGGCGGGACUGCCACCGCAAGGUGUGAGGAGGGGGGGGAUGACGUCAAAUCAGCACGGCCCUUACGUCCGGGGCGACACACGUGUUACAAUGGCGGCCACAGAGGGAAGCUACCCCGCGAGGGGAUGCGGAUCUCGAAAAGCCGUCCCAGUUCGGACUGGAGUCUGCAACCCGACUCCACGAAGUUGGAUUCGCUAGUAAUCGCGCAUCAGCCAUGGCGCGGUGAAUACGUUCCCGGGCCUUGUACACACCGCCCGUCAAGCCAUGGAAGCCGCGGGCGCCUGAAGUCCGUGACCGGAAGGAGCGGCCUAGGGCGAAAGUGGUAACUGGGGCUAAGUCGUAACAAGGUA